Cyprinus carpio (common carp) is the source of this 652-nucleotide long non-coding RNA. RefSeq lists it as uncharacterized. Lineage: Eukaryota; Metazoa; Chordata; Actinopteri; Cypriniformes; Cyprinidae. The record is from RefSeq and is a predicted model, not a curated record. The transcript has 4 exons.
AAAAACAGACACUUACACUGGGCUGAUGGACCGGAAGAGAUGCAACAAAAGAAACCAGCUCAAAAUCACAGCAGCAGUGUCAGAGAGAAGGCACUGGCUGACAGAAAGGUCUGGACACACCGUCAGCAAGAGCUCGAGCCUGGAGCCUUGUGUCUUACAAACUCUGAGUCUGACUGCGACGCUGCUGGUAUGAGCUCUCAGAAACACCAAACUAAACCAAGACAAACAGAUAAAAGAGACAGAAGCAUGAGUGCCUCCAGAGAGCACUUCAUAGACGACAUUCAUCCCUUGAAAACUCAUUACAGCCAGUGAGAAAGAGACAGAGAAGUACACAGCAGAUUCUGCUGUUGUAAACUUGAGUAACGGCUACAGCGGUGAUAGAUGCAAAUUUAAAAGCCACAGCAAUGAGUCGGCCAACCCAAUAAAGUCACAAUGUGGUGAUGCAAAAGCGCACAAUGAAUUCAAGGACAAAACAUCACAACAAUCAUCUCGCAAUGACAUCAUCGUCAUAGAAAGCCACUCCAUCAAUCAUAUUUCAACUCUUACGGUGUUUAAGGGACAUCAGGGAAACAAUCAAACACACAAACCUCAUAAAAAGAACAGAAGUUCUGACCGACAAAAGUAUUCAGUAUCCACUAACGUGAAAUCGGAG